This 447-nucleotide ribosomal RNA is filed under the name uncultured bacterium. RNAcentral's name for it is "bacterial SSU rRNA". It matches the Rfam family "Bacterial small subunit ribosomal RNA", at positions 355 to 825 of the family's 1533-position model. The record is from RNAcentral.
UCGGGAAUUUUGGGCAAUGGGGGAAACCCUGACCCAGCAACGCCGCGUGAAGGAUGAAGUAUUUCGGUAUGUAAACUUCGAAAGAAUAGGAAGAAUAAAUGACGGUACUAUUUAUAAGGUCCGGCUAACUACGUGCCAGCAGCCGCGGUAAUACGUAGGGACCAAGCGUUGUUCGGAUUUACUGGGCGUAAAGGGCGCGUAGGCGGCAUGACAAGUCACUUGUGAAAUCUCUGGGCUUAACCCAGAACGGCCAAGUGAUACUGUCGCGCUAGAGUGCAGAAGGGGCAAUCGGAAUUCUUGGUAUAGCGGUGAAAUGCGUAGAUAUCAAGAGGAACACCUGAGGUGAAGACGGGUUGCUGGGCUGACACUGACGCUGAGGCGCGAAAGCCAGGGGAGCAAACGGGAUUAGAUACCCCCGUAGUCCCUGAGCGGGCUGGCAAGGCGCAU